This 492-nucleotide ribosomal RNA is filed under the name uncultured bacterium. Its description in RNAcentral is "partial 16S ribosomal RNA". It matches the Rfam family "Bacterial small subunit ribosomal RNA", at positions 29 to 507 of the family's 1533-position model. The record is from RNAcentral.
AGUGAACGCUGGCGGUAGGCCUAACACAUGCAAGUCGAACGGCAGCACAGUAAGAGCUUGCUCUUACGGGUGGCGAGUGGCGGACGGGUGAGGAAUACAUCGGAAUCUACUUUUUCGUGGGGGAUCACGUAGGGAAACUUACGCUAAUACCGCAUACGACCUACGGGUGAAAGCAGUGGAUCUUCGGACCUUGCGCGAUUGAAUUAGCCGAUGUCGGAUUAGCUAGUUGGCGGGGUAAAGGCCCACCAAGGCGACGAUCCGUAGCUGGUCUGAGAGGAUGAUCAGCCACACUGGAACUGAGACACGGUCCAGACUCCUACGGGAGGCAGCAGUGGGGAAUAUUGGACAAUGGGCGCAAGCCUGAUCCAGCCAUACCGCGUGGGUGAAGAAGGCCUUCGGGUUGUAAAGCCCUUUUGUUGGGAAAGAAAAGCAGCAGGUUAAUACCCCGCUGUUCUGACGGUACCCAAAGAAUAAGCACCGGCUAACUUCGUG